CCUUUCCCUUCGUACUUUUGAGCCUCCCCGGGGUCGGGGUGCUGUAGGCUGACACCCCCGUUUGCAGACUUGGCUGGGCACACCGGCACGGACCCGGUCCCGCAGGAACCCCUCGCCGUCACCUCACCUUCCCUCAGGGAAGGCCCUCUGCAUCUCCCGGCAUGAGAGUGGGAAGUGAAAUUUUUCCGUGGUCCAGCAGCCGUGGGAGGACGGUGAUGUCUCUGCCGGAGCCCCGACCGCUGGCAGCCCCUGCGGCAGGGAUGUCCGUCAGCAUCUCCAGCCGAGGACCCGACAGCACUUGUGUCUCAUCCCAGGUCCCACGGGCACCCCGAGGGGGAGGCACGGUGGGACGCGGUUCCCGGUGACUGUGUGUGACCGGGGCUCUGUGCCUGUUCUGGAGGACCUUCCUUCACCAGGAUCUGGGCACAGCUGGGUCGGCAUGGUCAUGUCCCAUCCUGUCUCAUCCCAUCCCAUCUAUCCUAUCCCAUGCCAUCCUACCUGUGCCAUGUCAUCCUGUCCUUCCCCUCUCAUUUCACUCCAUCCCCAUCUCCAUCCCCAUCUCCAUCCCCAUCCCCAGCUGUGGGUCCCGACCUGGGUACACCCCGUAGCCAAGAGCUCAAAGGCCGUAACGCUGGCCCAGUCUGAGAGCUCUUGCCUUCCCUGGGGAGCUCUGCAGAUUUCCAGUCCGAGCUGAGAUGUUGUGGGAAUGUGCUGGCCGUGCAGUUUGAUGGGGACUCGACAGAAUCAGCCAAAUCUCAAGUCAAACCAGACGCAACAGGCAAGACCUGGGCCGAGUGCGGCCGCACGGCUCCUGAGCAUCCUGCUCCAGCUGCUGUUGGGUGAGCCCAGACGCUGGGUCACAAGAGGUAAACCCGCCGAUGAAUUAAGCCUGACAUGUGGCCUUGAGCUUCAGGGGGUAGUUAAUUUUUCAAUUUCUUUCAUGGAUCUGGAAUAGCAAGAGUUUGUUUAUAAUUAAAGUACUUGAAGAUUUAUACUUUAAUUCAAAUAGCUGAAAAGAAGCAGUUUCUGUGUAGGUUUCUUCACUAUCAGAAUCUAAAACAGAUUAUUAUGUAAAUUUUUUUGAUCCUAAAUUCAUUAUAAUAUUCAAUUUCAGGAAAUGCUCUUGACCAUCUGCUACUGCUCUAAGAAACGAGUCUUGGAGAUUGUUUACUACCAGAAAUAUUGUAGGUAUUUAGGGUAGAUCGCAGUGGAGUGUAAGGGCAAAGUACUGAUUUUGGAGUCUGGUUAUAUAAGCCCGUAACGCCGAAGCCACGAGCUGAGCAAGUUGGAAAGCGCAUCCGCAACGGCGGCAGCUUCUGCUCUGCCAGCAUCCCGUCCCAUCCCGGCUCACAGCACCGGUGCCACCCCCCCUUCCCCAUCCGCAGCGCGGUCCUGUCUGUGCACGGAGGGUACCGGUCCUUCUCGGUCUUGUAGGGAGGCAGUACGGAUUAAUUCCUGGUCUUAAUAGAAGUGGUUUGAGAUCCCUGGGAUGGAAAGUACCGUGAAAGUAUCAUUUGCUGUUUGUUGUAACCUCCAAACUUGCCAAGAGAAGCCACGUGCUGAUCCCCAGCGAGCUUUCCCUCUUGGUGAUUAGAGCAAGAGGGGACGAAAAGCGGGGAGAAGCCCUCGUCACCCGCACGUGCGCAGGACCCGGGGGGCCCAGCAGUACCACUGAGCUGCGUGGAAGAAUAAUCUAUUUUUUCCGGUGUAUUUUACUACCAAAGCUUGUAUGUCGUUAGCGGUGUCAGGUGCAAUGGAUGAAGCCCAGGAGCGGCGAUACGGACGUGCUGCAGAACGGGCUCGUGUCCCGAGGUGCCGCUCCUCCCCAGCUCCCAGCACUCGCCGUCGCUGCCAUUAUUCAGCCUCUGCAAGACACUAAAAGAUGUUGCUGCCCCGCUGCUUGCUCCCACACGUUUAGGUUUGGCUUUGUAUGGAGGAGGAAUGUAUUAAACACGGUUUCUUUUUUUUUUUUUUUCCACCGCAGCCUCGUUCAACAAGUGCAGCACCCACGGGGCCGGCGGCUGCUGCCUAUCGAUCGGGGCCGGGGCCGUGCCUGCCCUUCCCAGCGACUGCGCCCAGUAUUGACGGAUCGAAGCGACGAGCGGGGCCGAGGCUGGGAAGCAACGGCUGCUGGCGGGGAGCGGGAGGGGGCCGCGGCGGGGGCAUCCCCAGGGCUCGUACUCCCGCUGGACCGGCAGCCGAGCAUCACCCGAGCAUCCUCCCAGCACGGGGGGGGGGGGGAUGCGGCUGCCCCGCCUCGCCACGGGGUCGGGCUGGGGACUACGCUGGACGGAGAAUAUUCGUUAAUAUUGAAUUAUGUACAGUAUUUGGAAAGGCGAACCGUUAAUGUAGUGGAAUAGACUUCAGAAGGGCACUCGUGUCCGUCUGCAUGCGUAGCGUAGGAGUGUUGCGUGCAGGGGGAUGCCUACGGGUGAUAGCAGCGAGCGUGUGGGAUAGGUCUGGCAGUUUCUAUAGGAGCGUACGCAAGGGGCUCGCAGCACCGCGCCUGCCAGCGUAGGAACGUCAGAACAUUGCCCGAGGUUGGUUUUUUAGCAAACCCGGUUUCACUACAAGGCUCGUCUGUACUAUCAGCAGUGUGUAGGAAGGCGGGUAAUAUUAGUGUGGGUCUGCAGGACGGGGACUGUUCAGCAGCCCUUGGAUAAAUAUCAGAGCGUAGAGUAUGAUGGAGAGGUUUUUUGUUCCUCUUGUUCUUCAUUCAUGGACCAACUAUGAAACCAGCGCUUUCUUAUCUGGAGCUGUCCCAGGCUUCGGUAUUCAAACCCUGGCGAUCACUAAUCGCCUUAUUUCCCCUCCUUCAGGGAAAUUUUAACUCUUGUCCUCUGCUGCUGAGUAGAUCUUUAAGCCGGUAAUAACGUGAGACAGAGGGAAAUUAAUGGCCUCAUCCUGCCCCUUCCCUGGCUGAAAACUGCUAAAGAAUUAAAGAAUUAAAAAGGUAUAAAAUUGCAUUCACAUCUUUUUUCCUGCUGAUGAGGGGUUCCGUUUUAACGGGGUGCGAGGGAAGGUAUAGACACCUUGUGCCCUCACCCUUCCCUUUCCCUCCUCUCCGAGCCCCCGGCAGCUCCCGUGCUUGCGGGGUCGGUCGUGGGGGACGGGGACCCCGUGGUGCUGGGUUGUCUCCACCUGCCCAAGCCACCGUGGUUGCCCGGGAUGGGAUCUCUGCGGCCAAGAGCCGUUCCAGCAGCUCGUUCCCCCUUGAAGUCCGAAUUCCCAUCGUUGACAGCCGCAGAGGGAGGAGGAGGAGGAGGGCGGGUGGCCUUCCUCCACUGGCCGGGGAU
Long non-coding RNA from Harpia harpyja (harpy eagle), 3296 nucleotides. RefSeq lists it as uncharacterized. NCBI's taxonomy places the organism in Eukaryota, Metazoa, Chordata, Aves, Accipitriformes, Accipitridae. The transcript has 3 exons. The record is from RefSeq and is a predicted model, not a curated record.